CCUACGGGUGGCAGCAGUGGGGAAUAUUGGACAAUGGGGGGAACCCUGAUCCAGCGACGCCGCGUGAGUGAAGAAGUAUCUCGGUAUGUAAAGCUCUAUCAGCAGGGAAGAAAGGAAUGACGGUACUUGACUAAGAAGCCUCGGCUAACUACGUGCCAGCAGCCGCGGCAAUACGUAGGGGGCAAGCGUUAUCCGGAUUUACUGGGUGUAAAGGGAGCGUAGGCGGUUACGCAAGUCUGGAGUGAAAGGCGGGGGCCCAACCCCCGGACUGCUUUGGAAACUGUAUAACUGGAGUGCAGGAGAAGUAAGUGGAAUGCCUGGUGUAGCGGUGAAAUGCGUAGAUAUUAGGAGGAACACCAGUGGCGAAGGCGGCUUACUGGACUGUAACUGACGUUGAGGCUCGAAAGCGUGGGGAGCAAACAGGAUUAGAUACCCUAGUAGUC
This 443-nucleotide ribosomal RNA is filed under the name uncultured bacterium. RNAcentral's name for it is "partial 16S ribosomal RNA". It matches the Rfam family "Bacterial small subunit ribosomal RNA", at positions 338 to 795 of the family's 1533-position model. The record is from RNAcentral.